CCUACGGGAGGCAGCAGUAGGGAAUAUUGCACAAUGGGGGAAACCCUGAUGCAGCGACGCCGCGUGGGUGAUGAAGUAUUUCGGUAUGUAAAGCUCUAUCAUCAGAGAAGAUAAUGACGGUACCUAAUUAAUAAGCACCGGCUAACUCCGUGCCAGCAGCCGCGGUAAUACGGAGGGGGCAAGCGUUAACCGGAUUUACUGGGGGUAAAGGGAGCGUAGCCGGCAUAACAAGUCUGGAGUGAAAUGCCAUGGCUUAACCCCGGAACUGCAUUGGAAACUGUGCAUCUAGAGUGCGGGAGAGGUAGGUGGAAUUCCUGGUGUAGAGGUGAAAUGCGGAGAGAUCAAGAGGAACACUAGUGGCGAAGGCGGCUUACUGGACUAUAACUGACGUUGAGGCUCGAAAGCGUGGGGAGCAAACAGGAUUAGAUACCCCGGUAAUC
This 440-nucleotide ribosomal RNA is filed under the name uncultured bacterium. Its description in RNAcentral is "partial 16S ribosomal RNA". It matches the Rfam family "Bacterial small subunit ribosomal RNA", at positions 338 to 795 of the family's 1533-position model. The record is from RNAcentral.